This 100-nucleotide signal recognition particle RNA is filed under the name Chloroflexota bacterium. RNAcentral's name for it is "signal recognition particle sRNA small type". It matches the Rfam family "Bacterial small signal recognition particle RNA". Rfam says of the family: The signal recognition particle (SRP) is a universally conserved ribonucleoprotein involved in the co-translational targeting of proteins to membranes. Archaeal SRP consists of a 7S RNA and homologues of the eukaryotic SRP19 and SRP54 proteins. The record is from RNAcentral. Lineage: Bacteria; Bacillati; Chloroflexota.
GUCUGGGUCCUGUGCGGCGGGAAACUGUGAAUCGGGUCAGGACCGGAAGGUAGCAGCCCUAAGCGGCACUUCUCGGGUGACACGGGGAAGCCCAGGUGGA